Molecule: ribosomal RNA, 467 nt
Filed under: uncultured bacterium
Lineage: Bacteria
Description: partial 16S ribosomal RNA
Rfam family: Bacterial small subunit ribosomal RNA
Source: RNAcentral
GACGAACGCUAGCGGCGUGCUUAACACAUGCAAGUCGAACGGAAAGGCUCCAGCUUGCUGGAGUACUCGAGUGGCGAACGGGUGAGUAACACGUGGGUAAUCUGCCCUGCACUCUGGGAUAAGCCUGGGAAACUGGGUCUAAUACUGGAUAUGACCUUUCUCCUUAUGGGGUUUGGUGGAAAGUUUUUCGGUGUAGGAUGAGCCCGCGGCCUAUCAGCUUGUUGGUGGGGUGAUGGCCUACCAAGGCGACGACGGGUAGCCGGCCUGAGAGGGUGAUCGGCCACAUUGGGACUGAGAUACGGCCCAGACUCCUACGGGAGGCAGCAGUGGGGAAUAUUGCACAAUGGGCGGAAGCCUGAUGCAGCGACGCCGCGUGAGGGAUGACGGCCUUCGGGUUGUAAACCUCUUUCAGCAGGAACGAAGCGUAAGUGACGGUACCUGCAGAAGAAGCACCGGCUAACUAUGUG